UAGAGUUUGAUCCUGGCUCAGGAUGAACGCUAGCUACAGGCCUAACACAUGCAAGUCGUGGGGAAACGACCGUGGUGCUUGCACCACGGGGCGUCGACCGGCGCACGGGUGAGUAACGCGUAUCCAACCUGCCCAUGAGUGGGGAAUAACCCGUGGAAACGCGGCCUAAUGCCCCAUGUAGCGCGAAGCGGACAUCUAACUCGCGCCAAAGGUUCGCCGCUCAUGGAUGGGGAUGCGUCCGAUUAGGCAGCAGGCGGGGCGACGGCCCACCUGGCCGACGAUCGGUAGGGGUUCUGAGAGGAAGGCCCCCCACAUUGGGACUGAGACACGGCCCAAACUCCUACGGGAGGCAGCAGUGAGGGAUAUUGGUCAAUGGCCGAGAGGCUGAACCAGCCAAGUAGCGUGCAGGAUGACGGCCCUAUGGGUUGUAAACUGCUUUUAUGCGGGGAUAAAGUUCACUACGUGUAGUGUUUUGUAGGUACCGCAUGAAUAAGGACCGGCUAAUUCCGUGCCAGCAGCCGCGGUAAUACGGAAGGUCCGGGCGUUAUCCGGAUUUAUUGGGUUUAAAGGGAGCGCAGGCCGCCGAUUAAGCGUGACGUGAAAUGUCCCGGCUCAACCGGGGAGUUGCGUCGCGAACUGGUUGGCUUGAGUGCGGACGAGGUAUGCGGAAUUCGUGGUGUAGCGGUGAAAUGCUUAGAUAUCACGAAGAACCCCGAUUGCGAAGGCAGCGUACCAGGCCGUAACUGACGCUAAUGCUCGAAGGUGCGGGUAUCGAACAGGAUUAGAUACCCUGGUAGUCCGCACGGUAAACCAUGAAUGGCCGCUGUUGCGAUAUAGUGUAAGCGGCCAAGCGAAAGCGCCAAGCAUCCCCACUCGGGAGAUCCCCG
Molecule: ribosomal RNA, 887 nt
Filed under: uncultured bacterium
Lineage: Bacteria
Description: bacterial SSU rRNA
Rfam family: Bacterial small subunit ribosomal RNA
Source: RNAcentral